AUUGAACGCUGGCGGCAGGCCUAACACAUGCAAGUCGAGCGAGCGGCGGACGGGUGCGUAAUGUAUGGGGACUGCACGAUAGAGGGGGAUAACUACUGGAAACGGUGGCUAAUACCGCAUACUAUCGGAUAACCCAUAUGGGACUAGCUAGUAGGUGGGGUAAAGGCUCACCUAGGAGACGAGCUCUAGCUGGUCUGAGGGGAUGAUCAGCCACACGGAUACGGAGACACGGCCCAGACUCCGACGGAGGCAGCAGUGGGGAAUAUUGCACAAGGGGCGCAAGCCUGAUGCAGCCAUGCCGCGUGUAUGAAGAAGGCCUUAGGGUUGUAAAGUACUUUCAGCGGUGAGGCGUUACCCGCAGAAGAAGCACCGGCUAACUCCGUGCCAGCAGCCGCGGUAAUUC
This 403-nucleotide ribosomal RNA is filed under the name uncultured bacterium. RNAcentral describes it as "partial 16S ribosomal RNA". It matches the Rfam family "Bacterial small subunit ribosomal RNA", at positions 30 to 526 of the family's 1533-position model. The record is from RNAcentral.